Long non-coding RNA from Perca fluviatilis (European perch), 1490 nucleotides. RefSeq lists it as uncharacterized. The transcript has 2 exons. The record is from RefSeq and is a predicted model, not a curated record. NCBI's taxonomy places the organism in Eukaryota, Metazoa, Chordata, Actinopteri, Perciformes, Percidae.
UAUCAUUGCUAUUUUUAUUCUUUACUCUAUUUUUAUAUUUAUCAUUCUAAUUUAAACAUAUUUCUAUUUUGAAGCAAUAAGCUUCAAGGGCAUAGUUUCAAUUGUUAUCUACUAAAAAUGACUGUUCUCAUGACGCUCUUACAGUUAAUCAUCAUUAAUGGUAAAUUAUUUUCUGUUUGUGAAAUCAACGGGAUUUUCUCAGGAAUGAGUGCACCCAAGCAGGCGCCACCACUUUUUCCCCUUACUCUACUGAAAACCCAUCAAACUUUGACCUCAAUACCGAGGUAUGUACUGAACCGUGACUUUUGUGAAACGUUCCACCCCAAAUGCAGUUAGUGCCAUUUGCAACAAACAAAAUGGAUCAGGGUGAGGUUUUUUUUUCUUUCUUCAAGGAUAAAGCAAAUUCUGCCAGUACAUUCACUAAAGUCAACAAAUGCAUACUAAUAAAGUUAAGUUAUUUAUUUAUUUUAUGGAUUCUAGUAUACAUUUACACAAGCUAAUACCUCCUGUAAUGACUUGGAUGAAUGACAGUUAUACUGUAAAUUUGUUUGUUGCCUUUGGUACUAAUUAGUCAAGUUUAGUCAAAGUUUCUUUCAUGCAACCACCUUAAACCCUACAGUCAGAACCAACACCAUGCCUUUUUAUUGAUGUUAAAUGGCCUUGUUUUCACCAUGCUUUCUAAAGCUUGUAGUUUGGUUUUUCACUCCUGUAGACCCAAAGGGACCUCUGGCUGAUGAUGUUUGAAACCGUGUCCUCUAGUGGUCAAAUGUGGACUUUUUAAAACAUCAUGGACAACUGGUAUUUGACAAGUGCUUUAUUCCAAAGUUCAAGUCACCUCUUGGGUAUAAACAGCUUUAGGCCACAGUACAACUUAAGGUACAGUCACAUUACACUACAAUGAAUAUUCACUUAGUCUCCCAUUCAUUUUCUAUUGAAUUUGACAAAUUCAAACAUCCAUUUCCUGUGUCCGUAUGAACUCCAUGGGUCAGAGUUCACUUUUGUUCAACGUUUACCUCACAGAUGUGCACGGUCGGCCAGUAGGAACACUGAUGAACUGUACUUGGAAAUGGAGGAGUCACUAUUCUAGCCCUGUGGCGCCACCUUCUUUUGUGCAACACCAGACUAAAAACUGCUGCAUCUCCCUCAUAGACGGUUUACAGUUAGUGAUCGCUCUGAUCAACAUUUAUUUAUAAUCAUGGUUAGAAUUGUGACAUGUCCUUUUUAGAGGCUGAGUGCAGGGCAAUUUUGUUAAAUGUGACUGUACCUUUUAGUUUCUAGGCCACAGGAAGUAGGAAGUCAGUACACUGCACAUUGGGAAUUAUAGGGCAUUUGAGUGAAUGGUUUGCAAAGUGUAAAGCCAAGAACAGACAGGUCUCCCUAAAAUGCAAAUCUUUUUAGUCCACCUGAAUGCAGUUGUGUCAUUUUUAAGUUAUAUAAGAACAUUUGUCAACUUUUUAUUACAAAUGCAUUAAAGGUUGAAAAUGCUUGAA